UCUGGGAUUACAGGCGUGCACCACCAUGCCCGUCCCCUUUCCAGUAUUUCUGACUUUAAAAAAGUAGUCAGCUUCUUCUUAAAUUAUGGUAAAAGCAUACAAAAGUAUGCACCAAUUUUCUUAAAUAAGAUCAGUGUGUACUGAUGUGUGAAUAUGUAAAGGCUAAGUGUGGGGAAAAGCAUAUUUAGUAUUUUAAACCAUUUGUGGAAAAAACACAUACACAUCUAUGUGUUUCUAUAUGCAUAGAAUAUUCCUGGAAAAAAGAACAGAAAACUGUUGAUUGUAUAUCCAGAAUAGAGAUAACUUUUCCCUUUGCAAUUUAUACCUUUAAGUAUAGUUUGAAUGUUUUAUCCAAGAAUGCUUUACUUUUAUAAUAACAAAAAUACUAAUAUAAACAUAAUGAAUAUAUUCAUUUUCCCUACCCCACUUCGAAACUUCAGCUCUCCCAACUCCAGAACAACUUCCUGUAGUUACAACAGUAUACCUGGCAAGAGAAACACCUGUUAAGCAUGGGCCAAAUAAAGCUUGGCAAUUAUGAGUAACCAACUUUUCAUUAUAUGCUCAUCUUGCUCCCUUUCGUGAUUAUGUUUUAAAAGGGCAAAUUUUGCAAGAAACUGCAAUGCAAAGAAGGACAUUUUUAAUUUCAUACUUUUAAGAUAUGUAUACUUAUAGAUUCAACUCUUUCUAUUAUUUGUUUCACAUUUGCCUUCGUCUUAAUGUGUAAGUUCAGGGACCCUAAGAUAUGAAACACAUAGUGCCUGUUGCAUACAGAAUGUAAAUUAAUGUUUGUCAAAUAAAUAUAGAAUGGAUUGUUAUCACUGAGAAGUGAUGUGUUGUCCUUGGAAACAAAGAUGACUAUCCAGCAUCUGUGGAGCAUAUGUUUUUUCAGUAGGAGAAUGGAUCUGUGCCAGUUCUCCAUCUCAGCUUCUGAUUUACAAGGUUAUAGUUUUGGAUGGCCUGAAUUAAAGGUGCAGUGUUCAAGUACAAAGAGAUAAGCUUAUCUAGAGGCUGAACCCAACAUGUGUUGACCUUAACCAAAUUCACCAGUUAAAGGAUACAAGUGUAUUAGGAGUUCAGUAGUAACAAUAGUGGCUGGAGACCCAGGACUGAUGAGUUCUAGUCCCUACUAUCACUAAGUGCUUUGUAGCCUUAGACAAGUAAGUGAUUUACCCAUUUUCUUAUGUUUAAAAUGAGGGGCUUGAACUAGAUAACAUCUAGGUCCAUUCAUAGCUGCAAAAUUCUAAUUCUAAAUUUAAUGAUGAGCCAGAAGCAAUGGCCCAUACCUACAGUCCCAGCUACUGAGGUGGCUAAAGUGGGAGGAUCUCUUGAGCCCAGGAGUUUAAGACCAGCCUGGGCAACACAGCAAGACGCUAUCUCUAAUAGAUAAAUAAAAUGUAAUGAUGAAAUUUUCCCUCUUCCAUCUUAUAUACUAUAGAUAUAUAUAUUCAUGAAGAGUAAGUCAUACACAAAUAAGAUAGACAAGGAUUCGUUGACAAAAAUGUGAAAUUUAAGAUACAUCAUUUCUAGUCACAUUACAUAUACAUUAUGCUUUUACUGUAAAAUAAAAUGUAGAUAUUUUCCAUACAAGAAAAAUAUCAGGCUAAUAUGCUGGCAGUAGAUUAUAAGGGAAAGAAUCCUAAUUCAAGUAAGAUAAAAUAUAAAAGAUUUGAUUAGAAUCCAAAAUACCAGCAAAAGCAGACUUAUUGAUCUGAAACAGUUUUUAAAAUAUUCUGAGAGAAAAGAAAUCCAUGAAACAAGGAUACCAAGGACGUGAAGAAUAGAGUUGGAAAAUGAAGUUUAAAAAAGAUAUGUUUAUAAUGUGAAGUUUUAAAAUUUAGCCAAAGCAUAGAUAGUUAAAGAUUAAGACAUACUGCCAGAGUGUAAUUAUUAAAGUGGUAGACAUUUACAUAAAUAAAUAUCCUCUUAGAACUCUAAAUAGUCAACCUAUUUAACUAGUUUUAAGAUCAAAAGUAUCCUUUUGAACACAUCAGGAACUGAAGUAACGCAAGGUUAAAUGACUUGUACAAAGUUCUCAGUGACUUAUCAGUGAAAUUGGCACAUUGACUCUAAAACUCUUGUCACCAACUCUUAUGUUCCAACUAUUGACCAGUAUCCAAACUUAAGGAUUCCUUUUUUUUUUUUUUCUUUGACAAAGAGCAAAUUGAAAUCAGAAAUGGGAGUAAAAUGGAAGGUUCCAGAAACCAGCGUAUUCACAACUCAGGUCAAUGAAGACUUUCUUCAUCUCUCCUCCUUGUUCCAUCACCCAUCCAUUGCCUACUCCUUCCUAAUUCAGAUCCUUUUCAGGUUUACAGAAAUCACUGUCUGCUGACACAAAACCUCUAGGCUUGUUCAAGAAUGAGACCUACAUUUGUUUAUUUUAUAGGUAAUUGUGCAUUUUUUCAUCCUACAUCUCAAGAGACCGAGGGACAUAAGUAAAUUGAUCUACUUGCCAAUGACUAUAAGGACAAAGAAGUUGUAAAAACAUCUAAAUGAUGUUAAACAUAAAUUAGCUCAGAAUAGGUUUGAAGAAGGAAAACUAACAGGGUCAAAGCAUGCAAUAAAAACUGAUGUGCCAUUAACUAUAGGUCCCCAUGAAUGGCAUCAAUUUCAAUGUAUCAUGUUGUAUCCAUCAAAACGAAACUUCGGAGACCAGCCCUGUAAUUGAACCCUGGACAUGGAUGUGAAAGUGGACAGAAAUUAAUACCUUAGUGAACUAAAACCUUAUGGCUUUUGUGUGGUCCAGACAAGUCCUGUUAAGGGCAAUUAAGUUCAGAAAUGCACCUUUUCUAUCAAAAACAUCCUAGUCUUUCCUCCCAGGCCUUUUGACAGUUCAUCUGAAUUCACAUGUCUAUUCUAAUCAAGCAUUUACAAACCAAAAAGAAAAAGUAUCUAUAGAAGUCAUAUUGAUAGCAUCAUUGCACAUAUGACAUUCUCUAGCUAAAAUAAUUCAAUAUUUGUAAUUAUAAAAUGUUACUAUCAUAACUUAUGGUUUUAUAAUAGGCUAUGAAUUAAUGAUCUCAUUUUAUCUUAUACUACCCCAAGAGGCAUUAUUAUUAUCACGAGGUUACACAAGAAAAUGGGCCUAGAAAUGCCAAAAGUAUGCCCAAGAUCAUUACACAGGUUCCAGUUCUAGAUUGACACACACUUGUUUGUCAAAAAGUUUCCUUUUAUAAAGCAUUUUUAUCGCAUGAUGGUGGUCACUUCUUUUUCUUUUGAUAUACUUUGGGUAUAAUCACGAUUGUCCUUAUUGUAUAAAAAGGAACUAUUCUGAAGCAAAGAGAGUUCAAGAAAGUGGCCAUAGUCGACAGGUUAAUAAAUGCAUCCAAACUUUUAAAUUACAACACUGUAUUUUGCUUUUUCCUAUGUUAGAGGAAAGAAAUUAAAAAGUGUGGUAUUGAAAGAUGUACAACUGACUUUGAAAAAGGGUUCCUCUCUGAUUGGUGUUUGUAAGUGAUCUAAAUAAACAUUUUUAAACUAUCA
Molecule: long non-coding RNA, 3480 nt
Organism: Chlorocebus sabaeus (green monkey)
Lineage: Eukaryota; Metazoa; Chordata; Mammalia; Primates; Cercopithecidae
Source: RefSeq, a predicted model, not a curated record